This is a long non-coding RNA of Hypanus sabinus (Atlantic stingray), 2642 nucleotides long. RefSeq lists it as uncharacterized. NCBI's taxonomy places the organism in Eukaryota, Metazoa, Chordata, Chondrichthyes, Myliobatiformes, Dasyatidae. The record is from RefSeq and is a predicted model, not a curated record. The transcript is spliced from 2 exons.
GGAUGAUCCUACAGAAAUUACGGAAAAUACUGUGUAAAAGGCUUUUAUGCCAGGUCUUCAUCAUUCGUUUAGUCGUUUAUUAUUCUAUACCCUUAACAUAAUACCCAAAACUCCAAUGUAAAAUUAUUCAAAAGGAACGAUGGUGGAUAACGACAACCUCUCAAUGAGACCAAGGAACUGACUGUAGACUUCUGGAGAAGGAAACCAGAGGUCCAUGAGCCAGUAAUGAUCAGAGGUGGAGAGGGUCAGUAGCUUUAAAUUCCUGGGUGUCACCAUCUCAGAGGACCUGUCCUGGACCCAUCAUAUAAUUGCAAAGAAAACACAACAGCACCUCUACUUCCUCAGGAAUCAAAGGAGAUUCAGCAUGUCAUCAAAAAUGUUAACAAACUUCUAUAGAUAUGUGGUGAAAAGUGUGCUGACUGGCUGCACUACGGCCUGGCAUGGGAACACCAAAGCCUUUGAGCAGAAAAUCCUGCGAAAGAUAGUGUUUUCAGCGCGGUACAUCACAGGCAAAACCAUCUCAACCACGGAUCCUAUCAAUAUGAAAAGCUGUUGUAGAAAAGCAGCAACCAUCAAAGAUCCCCACCAAUCAGGCCAUGCUCCUUUCGCACUGCUGCCAUCAGGUAGAAGGUACAGAUGCCUCAAGACUCGCACCACCGCUCAGGAGCAGUUACUACCCCUCAACCAUCAGGCUCUUGAAAAAAAGGGGAUAACAACACUCAUUUAAAGACACUUGCAUUGUUAUUUCAUGCUCAUUAUUUAUUGUUAUUUAUUUAUCUGCAUUUGCAGUUUAUUUAUAAUUCCUGAUGUUUACAGUUUACAGAUCCUGUUUCUGGCUAUUAUUCCUUAGAUUUACUAAGUAUGCCCAUAGAAAAAAGAAUCUCAGGGUUGUACGUGGUGAAAACCACAUGGUAAGCUUAACUGCACUUACAAGGAGUCUUGCAGCAAAGAAAAAACAAACAAACCAGGCCCUUCAGCCCAAUUCCUUUAUGCAGACUGUUGCCCAGUGAGUUAGUCCCAACUGCCUACAUUUGGCCCAGAGCCAUCUACCCCUUUCAGGUCUAUGUAGUUAUUUAGAUGGCUUUUUAUUGCUCCUAAUGUGCCUACCUUAACCGCUAUUUCUGGUGGAUCAUUCCAAAUCCACAUCACCCUUUGUGUAACAAAGCUGCUCUAAUGGCUCUUUUAAGUCUCUUAAAAGUCGCCUUGGGUAACUUUUUGUUUUUAGCAACCCCUCCCUGGGAAAAAGACAAUAUACUUGCUCUUCACUUAUAACAUUAUGAGGUCACUCCUCAAUCUCCUACAUUACAGUCCUAGUCUACGCAACCUCUCCUUGUAACUCAGCACCCCACAAGUCGAGGAAACAACCUAGUUAAGUCUUUCCUGUAUACUUUCUAGUUUAAUGACAUCUUUUAUAUAAAAGGGUGAGCAAAUUGGCACACGAUACUCCAAAAGUGGCCUUAUCAACAUCUUGUGUAACUGCAGCAUAACCUCCAAACUCCCAUACUCAAUGUCCUGACUAAAGACAACUGUGCCAAACACCUUCAAUACCCUAUCUACCUGUGAUGCUGCUUUAAGUGAACUCUGCACUUGGACUCUUGGGUCCCUUUUUACCAUAACACUGAAAGAUGGCAGAUAGAAUUUAAUACAGAGAAGUGUAAGGUUUUGCACUUUGAGAGGACCAACCAGGGUAGGUCUUACACAGUGAGUGGUAGGGCACCAAGAAAUGUGGUAGAACAAAGGGAUCUGGGAAUACAGGUUCACAAUUCAUUGAAAGUGGCAUCACAGGUAGAUAGGGUAAUAGAGGAAGCUUUUGGCACAUUGAACUUCAUAGACCAAAGUAUUGAGUACAGGAGGCAGGAUAUUAUGUUUAAGUUGUAUAAGACAUUGGUGAGGUCUAAUUUGGAGUAUUGUAUGGAGUUUUGGUCACCUUCCUACAGGAAAGAUGUAAAUAAGAUUGAAAGAGUACAGAGUAAAUUUACAAGAAUGGUGCCUGGAUUGAAGUGCCUGAGUUACAAGGAAAGUGAAAAGAUUAGGACUUUAUUUCACAGGAUGUAGAAGAUGAAGGGGAGAUUUGAUAGAGAUAUACAAAAUUAUGAGAGGUGUAGAUAGGGUAAAUGCAAGUAGGCUUUUUCCACUAAGGUUGGGUGAGACUACAACUAGAGGUCAUGGGUUAAUGGUGAAAGGUGAAAUGUGCAAUGGGAACAGGAGGGGAAUCUUCUUCAUUCGAGUUACUGGGAGUGUGGAACAAGCUGCCAGUGCAAGUGGUAGAUGUGACUUCCAUUUCAAAGUUUAAGAGAAGUUUGGAUAGAUACAUGGAUAGGAGGGACAUGGAGGGCUAUUGUCCAGGUGCAGGUUAAUGAGACAAGGCCGUUUAAAUGGUUAGGCAUGGACUAAAUGAGCCAAAAGCCCUGUUUCUGUGCUGUAGUUUUCCAUGACUGUCCUACUCGAGUUUGAAAGCCUCAACUCAUAUACCUAGUUGAUCAAAUUUAUUAUCUAAGUAUGCAUAUACUACAUCGAGUUUAAUUUUUUUCAAGCAUUUAUAGGAAAAUAAAAAUACAAUAGAAUUCAUGAAAAAUAACAAAAAGACUGACAAUGUGCAAAAGAUGGCAAAUCAUGUAAAUAAUAAAUAAUGCUGAGUUUUA